GACGUGUCUUGUCCCAAAUCUGCGGAAAAUCUGUGGAAAGCAGUGAACAUGAAAACAGGAAGCUCUCCUAGACUCAGACAUCGGAGAACUACUUUCACGGUGUGAUGGUAAGAAUUACUCAUCUCUGCUCAUAUCUGCAAACCAUUCAGGUUCCUUGAUCUAAGAUAAAUCAGUGACUCACUUAUAUAUACAUAUAUACAUGUAUAAAUAUAUAUAGGUAAAAAAAUAUAAGCAAUUCAGUGCAUAUUUUCUUAUGUAAACACACAGUUAUGAAACAUUUUGCCACUUUUUAUUAGCAUUCUCAUCUAGAUUGAAGAUCACCUGAUUAGUCAUGCCAGAAUAAUUCCACAUUCAUCUAAUCAUAAUUAAUUCAGAUGAUCAUGACAAACAAGUUCACAUUUUCUGGUUCAAAUGUUUUGUAACUAUGUUUUGUCAUGUAACACAGUAACAUUCAUUUCCAACUAACGCUGUGUCAUAGUACUUUAUUCAUUUACACAGUUUUUGUUAUAUUCAUUUUCCAUUCCAUUCUGUUUAUUGUUUAGUAAUGUCAGUGUGUUUUAGUAACAUGCUUUAUAUAUUUAUAACAUUGUUAAAUUCCUGAUUCUGUUUGGUCAGAAGUUGUAGAUUAAUUUUGUAUAUCAUCAGUUCUGAUUUUAGUGCUGGCUCCAAGGGAAACUGGCAAAAACUCAAAUAAAUGAAGGCUAAAAAUUAAUGGAUUAAAAAUGGUCUUUUAUUAAACAAAGAAAACAUGCUGUAUAACCAUCAGUGUUUUGUAACAUUCAGUAAGUUUUCCACCACAGGAAAGUCUUCAGGACAGGUUUUUGUGCUUUCCUUUUUCUUUGUAACAUGACAAGCUGCAGUUUUACAAGCUGUCAUUAACUUAAAGAGAAAUGACAGUUUAUAGCUGCUAUGACACAAGUGACAACAGGAAGUAAUUUGUGUCAUGGAUGUUCCACAUGAUUAAAUGUAACUACAAACUGAUCAAGAUUAUGUGCUGUUCUUUAUUUAUUAAAAUAAUGUCAUUAUUGGGUAACACUUUAUAAUGUGCUGUUAUUGGAAAAUCAUCAACUUCAGGGUGGUAACAGGAAAUCCACUUUGCAUUGGCCAACUUCACACAACCCCACUGUUGAUAAUUUUCCUAAAACUGCACAUCUUUUCAUGUUUUAUUCCUUACCCAUUAUACGGUUCAUCGUCUAAUUUAACUUACACAUGUUCAGUGUUGAUAAAUGGCUGGUUUCCAUAAGGUGCAUGCGAAUUAGUAUAAUGAUAAUGAGUCUUUAUUGUGACAUGUACAUUACAGCACAGUGCAGUUCUUUUCUUUGUAGGAAGUUGGGGUCAGAACGCAGGUCAGCCAUGAUAUAGCACCCCUGGAGCAGAAAGGGGCAAGGGCCUUGCUCCAGGGCCCAACAGUGGCAGCUUGACAGUGCUGGGGCUUGAACCCCCGACCUUCCGAUCAGUUACCCAGAGCCUUAACUGCCAAUCAUAAUACUGUCACUAUUAUUCUUAUAUUAUAAAAAAAGGACAAAUAAAAACCACAACAACGCAGAAGGCAAGUAAAUCAAUCAAAGUAUUUGUUUUACUUUAAUUAAAAGAGAAGGCAAAUCAAUCUCUCAUUUUCACUCACUUUUUACCUUCUCAGUAGAAAUGAAUAUGCCAGAAAGGUAGAAAUGUUCUAACGUGUAAAAAUAAAUCUGUCUGCAUAUGCUCCAGACCCCCCC
Ictalurus punctatus (channel catfish) is the source of this 1718-nucleotide long non-coding RNA. Lineage: Eukaryota; Metazoa; Chordata; Actinopteri; Siluriformes; Ictaluridae. The record is from Ensembl.